Molecule: ribosomal RNA, 418 nt
Filed under: uncultured bacterium
Lineage: Bacteria
Description: bacterial SSU rRNA
Rfam family: Bacterial small subunit ribosomal RNA
Source: RNAcentral
GACGAACGCUGGCGGCGCGCCUAACACAUGCAAGUCGAACGGAGUCAAGAGGAGCUUGCUUUUCUUGACUUAGUGGCGAACGGGUGAGUAACGCGUGAGUAACCUGCCCUGGAGUGGGGGACAACAGUUGGAAACGACUGCUAAUACCGCAUAAGCCCACGGCCCGGCAUCGGGCUGCGGGAAAAGGAUUUAUUCGCUUCAGGAUGGACUCGCGUCCAAUUAGCUGGUUGGUGAGGUAACGGCCCACCAAGGCGACGAUUGGUAGCCGGACUGAGAGGUUGAACGGCCACAUUGGGACUGAGACACGGCCCAGACUCCUACGGGAGGCAGCAGUGGGGGAUAUUGCACAAUGGGGGAAACCCUGAUGCAGCGACGCCGCGUGGAGGAAGAAGGUUUUCGGAUUGUAAACUCCUGUCGU